This is a non-coding RNA of Pelobates cultripes (western spadefoot toad), 253 nucleotides long. The record is from the annotation of a GenBank genome assembly. NCBI's taxonomy places the organism in Eukaryota, Metazoa, Chordata, Amphibia, Anura, Pelobatidae.
UUACAGAAUACAGAGACCCAAAAAUUCUUACCUGUUUUGGUUAGUUGUAUUCUGAAAAAGAGGAUUUAUUUUUGAUAAAGAGUGUUAUAGAGCAGAUUUUUUUGUGAUUAAUUUGUAUCAAACAUUGGACUCCGACAACAGCAAGAAACUAUUUUAUGUAAAUAUCUUGCUUUGUUUCUAGAUUACAUUUGUAAUAAAAAUGCAAUUAUUUUUACUUGCUAAACUAACUAAAUGAUCUCCGAUAGGAAGUGGA